This 882-nucleotide ribosomal RNA is filed under the name uncultured bacterium. RNAcentral describes it as "bacterial SSU rRNA". It matches the Rfam family "Bacterial small subunit ribosomal RNA", at positions 8 to 878 of the family's 1533-position model. The record is from RNAcentral.
AGAGUUUGAUCCUGGCUCAGAGUGAACGCUGGCGGUAGGCCUAACACAUGCAAGUCGAACGGCAGCACAGAGGAGCUUGCUCCUUGGGUGGCGAGUGGCGGACGGGUGAGGAAUACAUCGGAAUCUACUCUGUCGUGGGGGAUAACGUAGGGAAACUUACGCUAAUACCGCAUACGACCUACGGGUGAAAGCAGGGGAUCUUCGGACCUUGCGCGAAUGAAUGAGCCGAUGUCGGAUUAGCUAGUUGGCGGGGUAAAGGCCCACCAAGGCGACGAUCCGUAGCUGGUCUGAGAGGAUGAUCAGCCACACUGGAACUGAGACACGGUCCAGACUCCUACGGGAGGCAGCAGUGGGGAAUAUUGGACAAUGGGCGCAAGCCUGAUCCAGCCAUACCGCGUGGGUGAAGAAGGCCUUCGGGUUGUAAGGCCCUUUUGUUGGGAAAGAAAUCCAGCUGGCUAAUACCCGGUUGGGAUGACGGUACCCAAAGAAUAAGCACCGGCUAACUUCGUGCCAGCAGCCGCGGUAAUACGAAGGGUGCAAGCGUUACUCGGAAUUACUGGGCGUAAAGCGUGCGUAGGUGGUCGUUUAAGUCCGUUGUGAAAGCCCUGGGCUCAACCCGGGAACUGCAGUGGAUACUGGGCGACUAGAGUGUGGUAGAGGGUAGCGGAAUUCCUGGUGUAGCAGUGAAAUGCGUAGAGAUCAGGAGGAACAUCCAUGGCGAAGGCAGCUACCUGGACCAACACUGACACUGAGGCACGAAAGCGUGGGGAGCAAACNGGAUUAGAUACCCUGGUAGUCCACGCCCUAAACGAUGCGAACUGGAUGUUGGGUGCAAUUUGGCACGCAGUAUCGAAGCUAACGCGUUAAGUUCGCCGCCUGGGG